RNAcentral lists this ribosomal RNA (1476 nucleotides) under uncultured Bordetella sp. Its description in RNAcentral is "partial 16S-23S ribosomal RNA intergenic spacer". It matches the Rfam family "Bacterial small subunit ribosomal RNA". The record is from RNAcentral. Lineage: Bacteria; Pseudomonadati; Pseudomonadota; Betaproteobacteria; Burkholderiales; Alcaligenaceae.
AGUUCGAUUAUGGCCUUAGAUUGAACGCUGGCGUGUGGAUGUUUACACAUGCAAGUCGAACGGCAGCCAGGACUUCGGUCUGGAGGGCGAGUGGCGAACGGGGCAGAGUAAUGUAUCGGAACGUGCCUAGUAGCGGGAGUAAUCACGCGAAAGCGUAGCUAAUACCGCAUACCGCCCUUCGGGAAAGCGGGGGACCUUCGGGCUCGCACUAUUAGGAGCGGGCCGAUAUCGGAUUAGCUAGUUGGUGGGUGAAGGCCACCGGCGCGACGAUCCGGUAGCUGGUUUGAGGACGACCAGCCACACUGGGACUGAGACACGGCCCAGACUCCUACGGAGGCACAGGGGAAUUUUGACAAUGGGGGAAACUGCAUCCAGCCAUCCUAUGUGCGAUGAAGGCCUUUCGCUGUAAAGCACUUUUGGCAGGAAAAGAAACGGCACGGGAUAAUACCCUCGUGCAACUGACGGUACCUGCAGAAUAAGCACCGGCUAACUACGUGCCAGCAGCCGCGAAGGGCCGUAGGUGGAAGACCGGAAUUACUGGGCGUAAAGCGUGCGCAGGCGGUUCGAAAGAAAGAUGAAAUCCCAGAGCUUCUUAACUUUUGGAACUGCAUUUUUAACUACCGAGCUAGAGGUCAGAGGGAGGUGGAAUUCCGCGUGUAGCAGUGAAAUGCGUAGAUAUGCGGAGGAACACCGAUGGCGAAGGCAGCCUCCUGGGAUAACACUGACGCUCAUGCACGAAAGCGUGGGGAGCAAACAGGAUUAGAUACCCCGGUAGUCCACGCCCUAAACGAUGUCAACUAGCUGUUGGGGCCUUCGGCCCGGCAGCGCAGCUAACGCGUGGAAGUUGACCGCCUGGGAGUACGGUCGCAAGAUUAAAACUCAAAGGAAUUGACGGGGACCCGCACAAGCGGUGGAUGAUGUGGAUUAAUUCGAUGCAACGCGAAAACCUUACCUACCCUUGACAUGUCUGGAAUCCCGAAGAGAUUUGGGAGUGCCUGCAAGAGAACUGAACACAGGUGCUGCAUGGUUGCUGCCGCCUGUGUCGUGAGAUGUUGGGUUAAGUCCCGCAACGAGCGCAAACCCUUGUCAUUAGGUUGUUACGAAAGGGCACUUUAAUGAGGAUCGCCGGUGACAAACCGGAGGAAGGUGGGGAUGACGUCAAGUCCUCAUGGCCCUUAUGGGUAGGGCUUCACACGUCAUACAAUGGUCGGGACAGAGGGGUCGCCAACCCGCGAGGGGGAGCCAACCCCAGAAACCCGAUCGUAGUCCGGAUCGGGAAGUCUGCAACUCUGACUGCGUGAAGUCGGGACCGCUAGUAAUCGCGGAUCAGCAUGUCGCGGGUGAAUACGUUCCCGGGUCUUGUACACCGCCCGUCACACCAUGGGAGUGGGUUUUACCAGAAGUAGUUAGCCUAACCGUAAGGAGGGCGAUUACCACGGUAGGAUUCAUGACUGGGGUGAAGUCGCAACAAGGUAG